Molecule: non-coding RNA, 1120 nt
Organism: Triticum urartu
Lineage: Eukaryota; Viridiplantae; Streptophyta; Magnoliopsida; Poales; Poaceae
Source: RefSeq, a predicted model, not a curated record
CCCCUUCCUCUUUCCCCUCUUCUCGCCUCUCCCUUCUCCCUCCUCCAUCUUUGUUCCCUUCCCCCUCCCACCACAGUUAUCUGUUCAUGUUGUUGGCACCUGAAGAAGUUGGUGGCAUGGUGAAGCCCCUGAGCAAAAGUUGCAGCAGUCUUUGAAGGAGUUGGAGAAGUCUCUAGCGAUGCAAGUUCGCCUUAAACCUGAGUCCGGAUCCAAUUUCAUCGGCACAAGCAUAUAUUCCAUGAAUUUUCCAUUAGAUUCAGUGGACAGGUAAUGUCCUCAACGACACUUGCACACCCUAAACCCUAAAAGAAACAACUUGAUGCCUUGGGUAAUUUUGGCUGCAUCCGCCUUGGUUAGUUGGUUUACAUGUGAAUUCACACAUUUAAAGGGCAUGUGAUGAUUAACUUUAUAAGUAUUUAUCCACGUUCUAAAGGAAUUAAAUAGGAUGCAGUAGUGCAGACAUUCAAAGGAGGUGAGAAGUGCACAUAUGCUUUAUGUUACUUAUAUGCAAAGAGCAGCAUAUCAAUAUAGAAGUGUCAUUCAGAGAGAGCUCUUUGAAUAUAAUAAGACAAAAGAUUAGCUGCCUGAUUUUUUUAUAAGAAGAUCCUUCUAUAUGUUGAGUUACAUGAUUUUUAAUUUGAUCAUCUUCUUUGAACAAUUUUUGUGCUGACUAUGAUAUUUCUUUUGAUUUGUGGGUUCAUCUGGGUCAUCCUUAAUUUACUCCUCACAUAAUAACUGUGAAACCUAAUGAGGCAGGAGGAUAAAAUUGUUGUUGGGACUCUGGUGAAAGCUGCAUUGGAGAAGAGUACAUGCAAAAAAUAAACAAUCAUGAUGCACUGUAAGUCCUCUCGCUGAUUUCUGAACAAUAAACAAUGAUGAUGCUCUCUUCACUUCAGAUAUUCUAAAAUUAAGGGAGUCACAAUUCUUGACUGGAUCAUAUGGGUAUGCUAUAUGAAAAAUGUACGAGGUGGUGUAGGAGGAGUUGAAAAAAAUGCAGCUCAAAGUGAGUGCAAGUGCAUAAUGUCCUAGAAUUAUUUUUCGGCGAAAGUUAGUAUCUUCUCAAUAUGUAACAGGACUGUAAAUUUUGAGAAGUGGGAAAUCAAAAUCAAUACCUUUCUUA